UUAAAAAGCUCGUAGUUGGAUUUCGGUUAAGAGCGACCGGUCCGCCGUUUGGUGUGCACUGGUUGGUUUUAACUUCCUGUAGAGGACGUGCUCUGGGCUUAACGGUCUGGACUCGGAGUCUACGUGGUUACUUUGAAAAAAUUAGAGUGUUCAAAGCGGGCUUACGCUUGAAUAUUUCAGCAUGGAAUAACACUAUAGGACUCCUGUCCUAUUUCGUUGGUCUCGGGACGGGAGUAAUGAUUAAGAGGAACAGUUGGGGGCAUUCGUAUUUCAUUGUCAGAGGUGAAAUUCUUGGAUUUAUGAAAGACGAACUUCUGCGAAAGCAUUUGCCAAGGAUGUUUUCAUUAAAUCAAGAACGAAAGUUGGGGGCUCGAAGAUGAUUAGAUACCAUCCUAAGUCUCAACCAUAAAC
Molecule: ribosomal RNA, 411 nt
Filed under: uncultured marine eukaryote
Lineage: Eukaryota
Description: SSU rRNA
Rfam family: Eukaryotic small subunit ribosomal RNA
Source: RNAcentral